AUUCGAGUAGGCUGGCAAGCCCCAGGAAGAAGGCUGGCAGUCAGAGUGGCCACUACAGCUCUCUGCAGCAGACCCUCUUCCCAGGCCAGACAGCUCAGCCUUGGCCAGAUCAUUACGGGAGAAGAACAUGGUCAUGGUCAGGAAGUGAAUCCUGGAUGGAUCCCUACAAGACGUGGUGUUGGCACAAUUGCAAGACGAGCAAUUGUGUGGGCGCACAAGUCAGACAUCUCCCCAGAGCCUAAGGCCCUCUGCAUCAUGGUUGUCUAGCAGGAGAACGGAGUCUCACAACUUUGCUAGCACUUGCUGCAUUUUGAAAUUCUGGAGAGAAGAGAGAGCGCAUUUUUCGAAGCAAGGUGUCUUCUAAACAGCAACAGGGCACAGACUUGUAAUACCUGAAAUGUGGUGCACUGUAGAAAAACAUUUUGAAACAAAGACUUCCAAGCUAGAUGGAGAUGGCUGGAAAGUUUUUCACUCUGCAAAGC
Hemicordylus capensis (graceful crag lizard) is the source of this 482-nucleotide long non-coding RNA. RefSeq lists it as uncharacterized. The record is from RefSeq and is a predicted model, not a curated record. The transcript is spliced from 3 exons. NCBI's taxonomy places the organism in Eukaryota, Metazoa, Chordata, Lepidosauria, Squamata, Cordylidae.